This 468-nucleotide ribosomal RNA is filed under the name uncultured bacterium. Its description in RNAcentral is "partial 16S ribosomal RNA". It matches the Rfam family "Bacterial small subunit ribosomal RNA", at positions 28 to 507 of the family's 1533-position model. The record is from RNAcentral.
GACGAACGCUGGCGGCGUGCUUAACACAUGCAAGUCGAACGGACAGGCCCUGCUUUUGUGGGGUUCUCGAUUGGCGAACGGGUGAGUAACACGUGAGUAACCUGCCCUUGACUUUGGGAUAACUUCAGGAAACUGGGGCUAAUACCGGAUAGGAGCUCCUGCUGCAUGGUGGGGGUUGGAAAGUUUCGGCGGUUGGGGAUGGACUCGCGGCUUAUCAGCUUGUUGGUGGGGUAGUGGCUUACCAAGGUUUUGACGGGUAGCCGGCCUGAGAGGGUGACCGGCGACAUUGGGACUGAGAUACGGCCCAGACGCCUACGGUACGCAGCAGUGGGGAAUAUGGCACAAUGGGCGGAAGCCUGAGGCAGCAACGCCGCGUGCGGGAUGACGUCCUUCGGGUUGUAAACCGCUUUCGCCGGUGACGAAGCGGGAGUGACGGUAAUGGGUAAAGAAGCACCGGCUAACUACGUG